Molecule: transfer RNA, 76 nt
Filed under: Aquificota bacterium
Lineage: Bacteria; Pseudomonadati; Aquificota
Description: tRNA-Phe
Rfam family: tRNA
About the family: Transfer RNA (tRNA) molecules are approximately 80 nucleotides in length. Their secondary structure includes four short double-helical elements and three loops (D, anti-codon, and T loops). Further hydrogen bonds mediate the characteristic L-shaped molecular structure. tRNAs have two regions of fundamental functional importance: the anti-codon, which is responsible for specific mRNA codon recognition, and the 3' end, to which the tRNAs corresponding amino acid is attached (by aminoacyl-tRNA synthetases). tRNAs cope with the degeneracy of the genetic code in two manners: having more than one tRNA (with a specific anti-codon) for a particular amino acid; and 'wobble' base-pairing, i.e. permitting non-standard base-pairing at the 3rd anti-codon position.
Source: RNAcentral
GGCGAGGUAGCUCAGGUGGUAGAGCAGCGGACUGAAAAUCCGUGUGUCGGCGGUUCGACUCCGCCCCUCGCCACCA